This 452-nucleotide long non-coding RNA is filed under the name Musa acuminata (dwarf banana). Its description in RNAcentral is "long non-coding RNA (MACU_LNC001785)". The record is from RNAcentral. Lineage: Eukaryota; Viridiplantae; Streptophyta; Magnoliopsida; Zingiberales; Musaceae.
GACCAUCUGCUCGCAAGAAGAAGAAACAAAAAGGAUAAAUGUCUGAAGAUCUCAGAGAAAUCUUGCUUGGUCUUCUGUUGUACUUCUCUCAUCUGUUAUUAUCCUUUUUGUCAUGUCAUUGCAGUGGGAAGCAAUCAACCUGAGCAGUAGAAAAGAGAGAAAUAAAUAAUAGCCUUCUGUUUCCCUUCUUUAUUCCUUCUUCUCUCAUGAAUGAAAAGUAACAAAAUGAAGCUUGUGGGUUAUCUGCCCAUACCUACUUUCCGUGGCAUCAGAGGGAGCUACCAAACUCCUUUUCAAUCGUCACCUCCCACCUUCCCAUGGAGGAUCCACAGCAAUCCAGACUGUCAUCAUGAGAUUACAAAACAACACUUCUUUAUCUCAGUUCUAAGCCACAUGCAUAGAACCAUCAGGGUGUACUUUCGAAAUGCACAUUCAGGCUAAGAACCCUUAUC